Small nucleolar RNA from Abrus precatorius (Indian licorice), 107 nucleotides. NCBI's taxonomy places the organism in Eukaryota, Viridiplantae, Streptophyta, Magnoliopsida, Fabales, Fabaceae. The record is from RefSeq and is a predicted model, not a curated record.
AAACCAUGAUAUGGACAUCUCCUCAGAAGUUCUCCAAAGCGCUCCCAUGUCUCAAACUGAUAUUCAAACUCAUAUUGUUGAAAAUUGGAGAUUUUUGUCAUUAGCUU